AGCUCUUAGUGCUGCAGUUUUCUAGUCGCAGUGCGGCAAAGCAGACGCAAAGAACCAGGCACGAAGCAGCAUAGAUUUUUUAUUCUCGUCUUUUUUAUACGAGGGAAAUUUUGCUGGUGUUAGCGUAGGAACAGACACACAGCCUGGAUGUGUUGGCUUCAGCCUGGCAGCAUUUUCAGCUGAACAGGGACUGCUCGGAGCUCUGUAUACAAAUUGCCUCUGAGGAAGAACGGCUGGUUUCCCAUUUUGCGUACUAAAAGGUUUUUUUACGCCAUGAUGAUAAACCUGCAGGAAUAGGACAAAGGAGAUGGUACCUGCCACUGUGUGUUUGACUGGGGCCUUUGCAGGUGCUCCACUGCUGAAGCUGGGUCAGCGUCCCAGGAUCAUAUAUAUCGGUAAUACAGAUUGCCACAAUUUCCUACAUCAGUUAGAGCAAAGCUCAAACAAGAAACCAGACUCUCUGACCUAAAUCAAUCCCAGUCCUUCUGGAUACAGGGCAGCAGUCGACUAGCAAUGACACAACCAGCCAUCAAGUGGAGAGUCUCUGGGACUGCAAUCUGUAUCAGUUGGAGCCUGUGAGAAAGAAAAGCUUUCCGUUAUCCAGUCGCUUCUCCUUCUUCUAAUACAGUUACUACAGCUACUACUACUACUACUUUUUUUCUUGCCUGUAAGAAGCUAUGAAUUGUGCUUGGUCUCUGAGUGUAUAUCUGUGUGGAUUAGCCUGUCUAUAAUGCAGUCCUUAUCUGCUCUGGCUGGAAAUCAGGGCACAAAGUCAGCCUGCUUUAACUGUUGUUUCUUUCUGCGUGAUGCUAUGCAGCUAGGACGGGUUACACUGACAACAAAGGAACAAGCACAAAGCAUCACUUUAUUUUCUGGACUGUUAUGGGAACAUAGCUCUUCUUUGAGAUGACACCCUCUUCUCUUUUCCUUUCUGUUUCUUUUUUUAUUCAUCUUUUCGAAGAGCCUAUCAGACACCAUCGUGGAUGUGGUUUUUAAUGAUUUGGAAAAGACAGUCUGUGGAGACUGCGAUUUGAGACAGCAACACAUUUAGGUUAUUGCCAAUUUGAAACACUUGGUUUGUGAAGCACAGCCCUAAGGGACAAGCUCAGUAACUGAGAAAGAGAUUGUAGAUAAAGACAUAAAAAUGACAAGCGUAAUGGAGGUUCUGCAAAAGAGACUGUCAGAGAAUCAGUUCAUGGAUGGCAAUUUCACCAGUCUGAAUCUGAAUAAUUCAUAGAUUGAAAUUACCCUGCUUUCACCUUUCUAUUUAAACCGGCAUGAUCUGAAUCUCUAAUAAAUUUUCAAGAUAAAGUAAAAUGCCAGUCUGAAUCUGAAGAGCUUUUAAAACCAGAUGCUACACCCUGAAUCUUUCAAUACCUUUCACAAUUAUCCUGUGAGAACCGCACUUCAUCACGAAGCACCAUUACCAGUGAAAAUUACUGUGAUUACAAUAGCAACAAUAAAAUACCAUCAAAUGAUCUGUAAUUUACCUAAUUUACCAAGGCUUACUGUGUGCCUAUUGUGUCUCACAAUGUCUGGCAUUGGAUCAAUAUCACAGUGGAACAAAAAUGCCUUAGUACAUGCUUCCGUUUGGUACCUUUAACUUUGACAGCACAGGAAAAUCCAUCUCCUGUUAAACAUUUUUACAACCAGACUGUCUAUGUGCCUGCUGUAGGAUGUGAUUGAUUCUCCUUGAUUUUCUUUAGUUGCUGGGUAUUGGAUGUCAUUAUGGUACUAAUUUGUUUAUAACAUAUACUCAUGCACAAAGACUGCAGCAAAUGAGCAACAGCAUAGAGAAAUCUGCACUGCUACAGCAGUAGCAGCGCUCGCACAGAGGAAGCCAAUACGAGUUCUGCACCCUAUGUGAAUAAUUACUCAGGUUUGAGGUAGAAAUGCUUUCUAGCACCACUGGUCUUGGUUGUACUACAUGACAAAGGUACGCAAAAGCCACAGCCAGGAAAAACGAUGAUGUGUGACACUAACAAGAUUAUUCCCUUGUUCAGUGAUUAGUUCGUGAUUGUGAGAGACAGUGUGACUCUCUAUGUAAGUGUGUAUGUAUAUAUACACAUAUGUAUAUAUACAUGUGUAUGUAUAUACAGGCAUAUGCAAAUGUAAAGAUAUUAUGCUGUGUGAAUAUGUGCUGAUCAUUGCAAGUAACAACUCUUUCUGACAAGCCAGGCACAGUGCUUUGCCACAAUCUGCUCGGUUGUAACAAAUCUCUGCUUUGGAGGUGUAAAUUCUCUAUAGGACGAUGCCGGACUUCUGCAACAAUAAGUAGUAUUUAUGAAAUAUGUUGGUGCUGAUAGCUAGGCUACAGAAUAGCAUUUUAAGCAUAGUUUGAGUCCUUCUAUCAUAAUCUCAAUGGGGAGAAAUACGUACAGAAGGCUAGAAACAGGCAUUCUUCAUGGAGACAACUGUAUCUGCUGCCUGUAUGUGUAUGAGUUGUACACUUCAAUUUUGUUUUUCAUUUUAUAACCAGACCUACUCUGCCUUCAGGGAAUAUUUUCUAAGGAAGGAAGGGAGUCCCUGUGGAUUUGAUAGCUGAGGUCUAACGACUAGUAUACUAAGCAGGUGCACAUCAACCUCGGAGUAGGGCCUCUGAGAACUUCAGGAAAUGGGUCUUGACACAGAAGGCAACCUAAAACCUUGACCUGCUGCCUGCACAUCACUUCAGAGGACAGCCAGCAUGUUAGCCCCUGAUUGGGGUUGGGCACAGAAACAAGAAGCCUGAUGAAAUUAUCCCUGAAGAAGCUGGGGCUUAUUCUGCAAGAUGCCGAGUGCCCUGCUCCAGAGGAGCCCCGGCUGGGCUCAAUUCCACUAGAGCAAAACUGAUCGAAGCUGGUAUGUUUGCUUUAGAUGUGGAUGCCACACACUCUGUUACCACAGAGCUGUGACAGCUUAAUGAGCUAUCACCCACCAAUGGAGCUGCUGUUACCGUGUGCGUGCUCCUACCCUGCCCCCUUUCUCCAAAGGGGCAACCUUCUUAAAUCUCAAUGAGAGUCUCAUAAAUGAGCCCUCGUCAUGCAAAGCUGUCUAUUGCAGUCUGUCACACAAACCCAGACAUCUUUGUCUCACCAAACUGUCCGUCUCCUUUUCCAUAUAAUGUGCCUGGAGGACACUCCUCUGACAAGAGGGACCUGCUUUUGGCCAAGGCAGGGUUGGAAAGGCAGUAAAUAAAAGAUAAAUUUUUCAAAGUUCAGACAUAGGUUUUUGGCAAACUGAAAUAGCUCAAAGGGGUAAGCCUCUGCUUCCUGUUUAUUUGAAGAUCCUACUAGAAUAACUCACCACUGACAAACGAGGCGCACAGAGGCCACAGGCCAAAGCCACAGAUCCCAGGCCACGGGCACACUCUUCCCAUCAGGCGUACACAGAAACACUCGGGUACCUGGCAUCAGCAUUUCGAAAGCAAACAGGAAAAGCUCAACGGGCUCUCUCUUCUUCAUUUGUGGGAAUCGUGGCCUCUCUGGCUGGGUCAGAACCUGGGCCCUGUGGUUUCACCAGCUGUGAAAGGCAAGGGAGCACGGGAAAAGCUGCCGUCUGCUCCAAGGCAAGGCUGGGUGCUGAAAGCUGGCUGGAGCCCUGCCUGCCAGCAGCCUCACCGGCCGAGCUUCGGCGCUCAAGGUCCAAACAAAGCACUGGCAUGCUAAAAACACAGUAUUUACAAACGGACUAUUGUGAGUAUUACUCAAACACCACAACUCCAGAAAUUAGCUUGGUAGAAGCCAUUCUUUUAUUUACUUAUUUGCAUUAAAGCAGAACAGAAACAUACAACAGUGCAGACGAAAUGCCACAUGACUUGAAGCUAUCAAAUUAUUCAUUAGCUGGCUUAAAGAACAGCAUUCUGUUAGCCCUGUCGUCUUCAUUUCAUGCUACUAUUGUUUGUAUAUUGUGUCUUGAUUUGAUAUUAGGCUUUAAAUACUUCUGGGAAUAGAUUUGUUUCCUUAUAUGCUCAUUUCACCCCUAGUAUGUAAGCCUCCAUUCCAGCUAAUGCCUGUAGUUUCUAAAAUACAAUCAGCAAUAAUAUUUAUUGUUUUCUUGUGUGCCUAUCCAGGAAAAGAAAAUUGCUACCAGAAUAACAUCCAGCACAAUAACAGGAUGAAAAUAUGCACCCUAUUUUUUAAUUCACACAUCUCACUCUAGCAUCAUGCCAGUUCAUGUGGAAAGCAGUGGGAAAUCCGACCAAAUGAGGAUGUCUGAUUUGUGUCCCAUUUGUGUGCUGGAUUUAUCACAGUAAAUUCACUUUAGUUUUGUCU
This is a long non-coding RNA of Dromaius novaehollandiae (emu), 4253 nucleotides long. RefSeq lists it as uncharacterized. The record is from RefSeq and is a predicted model, not a curated record. Lineage: Eukaryota; Metazoa; Chordata; Aves; Casuariiformes; Dromaiidae. The transcript has 3 exons.